AACGAACGCUGGCGGCAGGCCUAACACAUGCAAGUCGAGCGGCACCUUCGGGUGUAGCGGCGGACGGGUGAGUAACGCGUGGGAACGUACCCUUUGCUACGGAAUAGCCUCGGGAAACUGAGAGUAAUACCGUAUGUGCCCUUCGGGGGAAAGAUUUAUCGGCAAAGGAUCGGCCCGCGUUGGAUUAGGUAGUUGGUGGGGUAAUGGCCUACCAAGCCGACGAUCCAUAGCUGGUUUGAGAGGAUGAUCAGCCACACUGGGACUGAGACACGGCCCAGACUCCUACGGGAGGCAGCAGUGGGGAAUCUUAGACAAUGGGGGAAACCCUGAUCUAGCCAUGCCGCGUGAGCGAUGAAGGCCUUAGGGUUGUAAAGCUCUUUCAGUGGGGAAGAUAAUGACGAUACCCACAGAAGAAGCCCCGG
Molecule: ribosomal RNA, 422 nt
Filed under: uncultured bacterium
Lineage: Bacteria
Description: bacterial SSU rRNA
Rfam family: Bacterial small subunit ribosomal RNA
Source: RNAcentral